GUAGGCUAUGGGGACAUGAGGCCCAUCACUGUGGGAGGCAAGAUUGUGGGCUCGCUGUGCGCCAUCGCUGGGGUCCUCACCAUCGCCCUGCCCGUGCCUGUCAUAGUCUCCAAU
This is a non-coding RNA of Mesocricetus auratus (golden hamster), 114 nucleotides long. The record is from Rfam. NCBI's taxonomy places the organism in Eukaryota, Metazoa, Chordata, Mammalia, Rodentia, Cricetidae.